GUAACACGUGGGUGACUUGCCCCGAAGAUGGGGAUAACCUCUGGAAACGGGGGCUAAUACCCAAUGUGCUCGGUGAUUCGGUUCAUCGAGUAAAGCUCCGGCGCUUCGGGAGAGGCCUGCGGCCCAUCAGCUAGUUGGUAGGGUAACGGCCUACCAAGGCAGAGACGGGUAGGGGGCGUGAGAGCGCGGACCCCCACACUGGCACUGAGAUACGGGCCAGACUCCUACGGGAGGCAGCAGUAAGGGAUAUUGCGCAAUGGACGAAAGUCAGACGCAGCGACGCCGCGUGGGCGAUGAAGGCCUUCGGGUUGUAAAGCCCUUUUAUGGGGGAAGAGAAAAAGGACGGUACCCCAGGAAUAAGUCCCGGCUAACUACGUGCCAGCAGCCGCGGUAAAACGUAGGGGACAAGCGUUAUCCGGAUUCACUGGGCGUAAAGAGCGUUGAGGCGGUUCCGUAAGUUGGGCGUGAAAGCUCCGGGCUUAACUCGGAGAUGUCGUUCAAUACUGCGGGGCUUGAGGACAGCAGAGGAAGGUGGAAUUCCCGGUGUAGUGGUGAAAUGCGUAGAUAUCGGGAGGAACACCCGUGGCGAAGGCGGCCUUCUGGGCUGUUCCUGACGCUGAAGGCGAAAGCUAGGGGAGCGAACGGGAUUAGAUACCCCGGUAGUCCUAGCUGUAAACGAUGGAUGCUGGGUGUGGGGGGUGUAAAUUCCCUCUGUGCCGAAGCAAACGCGUUAAGCAUCCCGCCUGGGGACUACGGCCGCAAGGCUAAAACUCAAACGAAUUGACGGGGGCCCGCACAAGCAGCGGAGCGUGUGGUUUAAUUCGAUGCUACACGAAGAACCUUACCUGGGUUUGACAUGCACGUGGUAGGGAACCGAAAGGGGACCGACCUUCGGGAGCGUGCACAGGUGCUGCAUGGCUGUCGUCAGCUCGUGCCGUGAGGUGUCGGGUUAAGUCCCGUAACGAGCGCAACCCUUGCCCUUAGUUACAAGUGUCUAAGGGGACUGCCCGGGACAACUGGGAGGAAGGUGGGGAUGACGUCAAGUCAGCAUGGCCUUUAUAUCCAGGGCUACACAC
Molecule: ribosomal RNA, 1076 nt
Filed under: uncultured organism
Description: bacterial SSU rRNA
Rfam family: Bacterial small subunit ribosomal RNA
Source: RNAcentral